GAUGAACGCUGGCGCUUGAGCCGGAACACAUGCAAGUUGAGCGAACCCUUCGGGGUGAGCGGCGGACGGGUGAGUAACGCGUGGGUAACCUGUCCCUGUACACACGGAUAACAUACCGAAAGGUAUGCUAAUACGAGAUAAUAUGUUUUAAUCGCAUGGUUAAGAUAUCAAAGCUCCGGCGGUACAGGAUGGACCCGCGUCUGAUUAGCUAGUUGGUGAGGUAAUGGCUCACCAAGGCGACGAUCAGUAGCCGACCUGAGAGGGUGAUCGGCCACACUGGAACUGAGACACGGUCCAGACUCCUACGGGAGGCAGCAGUGGGGAAUAUUGCAUUAUGGGCGAAAGCCUGAUGCAGCAACGCCGCGUGAGCGAUGAAGGCCUUCGGGUCGUAAAGCUCUGUCCUCAAGGAAGAUAAUGACGGUACUUGAGGAGGAAGCCCCGGUUAACUAC
Molecule: ribosomal RNA, 450 nt
Filed under: uncultured bacterium
Lineage: Bacteria
Description: bacterial SSU rRNA
Rfam family: Bacterial small subunit ribosomal RNA
Source: RNAcentral